UUAAAAAGCUCGUAGUUGGAUUUCUGUAGUGGGAUGCCGGCCGGGUUCUCUGAACUUGUAGCUAGGUUAUCUUGCUGCAUCUUGUCGUAAUUCUCACUGGCAUUCAUUUGUUGGUGUAGAGGACCGACUCGUUUACUUUGAGAAAAUUAGAGUGUUUAAAGCAGGCUAUAGCUUUGAAUAUGUUAGCAUGGAAUAAUAAUAUAGGACUUUACGUUCUAUUUUGUUGGUUGUUCGAGGACGUAAGUAAUGAUUGAUAGGGACAGUUGGGGGCAUCAGUAUUCCGAAGCGAGAGGUGAAAUUCUUGGACCUUCGGAAGACUAACAACUGCGAAAGCAUUUGCCUAGGAUGUUCUCUUUAAUCAAGAACGAAGGUUGGGGGAUCGAAGACGAUCAGAUACCGUCGUAGUCUCAACUAUAAACUAUGCCAACUAGGGAUGGGGCAAUGUUUAAUUACGACUUGCUCCGCACCUUAUGAGAAAUCAAAAGUAUUUGGGUUCCGGGGGGAGUAUGGUCGCAAGGCUGAAACUUAAAAGGAAUUGA
This 539-nucleotide ribosomal RNA is filed under the name uncultured marine eukaryote. RNAcentral's name for it is "bacterial SSU rRNA". It matches the Rfam family "Eukaryotic small subunit ribosomal RNA", at positions 619 to 1156 of the family's 1831-position model. The record is from RNAcentral.